This 198-nucleotide ribosomal RNA is filed under the name uncultured bacterium. RNAcentral's name for it is "partial 16S ribosomal RNA". It matches the Rfam family "Bacterial small subunit ribosomal RNA", at positions 328 to 539 of the family's 1533-position model. The record is from RNAcentral.
ACGCUCGACACCUACGGGAGGCUGCAGUGGGGAAUAUUGCACAAUGGGGGAAACCCUGAUGCAGCGACGCCGCGUGGAGGAAGAAGGUCUUCGGAUUGUAAACUCCUGUUGUUGGGGAAAAAGAGGAUGGUACCCAACAAGGAAGUGACGGCUAACUACGUGCCAGCAGCCACGGUAAUCUGAGCGGGCUGGCAAGGC